AAUCCUUCACUCUCAUUUCCUUCAAGAAUGGCCAGUUGGGUCUCAAUGCAGAGCAUGCGUGGGCAGAUGCUCCCAUCAUUGGGCACCUCUGGGAGGUAAUGGCCUUGCAGAGGGAACCUGCAGGGCAGGCUGUAGGGGAUGAGGCCAGCCUCUCAGUCUCAUCCUCUCCCUGCAGUUUGUCCUGGGCACAGACAGCUUCCACCUGGGCUACACGGAGACCGGGCACUGCCUGGGCAAACCGAACCCUGCGCUCGCACCUCCUACACGGCUGCAGUGGGACAUUCCAAAACAGUGCCAGGCGGUCAUCGAGAGUUCCUACCAGGUGGCCAAGGCGUUGGCAGACGACGUGGAGUUGUACUGCUUCCAGUUCCUGCCCUUUGGCAAAGGCCUCAUCAAGAAGUGCCGGACCAGCCCUGAUGCCUUUGUGCAGAUCGCGCUGCAGCUGGCUCACUUCCGGGUAGGAGCCCCGCCUCCCGCUGCUGAGAGGGCAGGGUGGUACCAGGGUCCACCUGCCAGAUUCACCCCUCUGUAUAUCCCAGGACAGGGGUAAGUUCUGCCUGACCUAUGAGGCCUCAAUGACCAGAAUGUUCCGGGAGGGACGGACUGAGACUGUGCGUUCCUGUACCAGCGAGUCCACAGCCUUUGUGCAGGCCAUGAUGGAGGGGUCCCACACGAAAGCAGACCUGCGAGAUCUCUUCCAGAAGGCUGCUAAGAAGCACCAGAAUAUGUACCGCCUGGCCAUGACCGGGGCAGGGAUCGACAGGCACCUCUUCUGCCUUUACUUGGUCUCCAAGUACCUAGGAGUCAGCUCUCCUUUCCUUGCUGAGGUGCUCUCGGAACCCUGGCGUCUCUCCACCAGCCAGAUCCCCCAAUCCCAGAUCCACAU
This 886-nucleotide small RNA is filed under the name Pan troglodytes (chimpanzee). RNAcentral's name for it is "retained intron". Lineage: Eukaryota; Metazoa; Chordata; Mammalia; Primates; Hominidae. The record is from RNAcentral.